AAGUCGUAACAAGGUUUCCGUAGGUGAACCUGCGGAAGGAUCAUUACCGAAGUCAAGGCCCCUUCGGGGGCUAAACUUCCACCCUUUGUUUACCUUACCAUUGUUGCUUUGGCGGACCGCCUUAGGCCACCGGCUCUCGAGCUGGUGCGUGCCCGCCAGAGACCCCCAAACCCAAACCAUAUUUAGUGUCGUCUGAAAACAAGUUUAAAUUAUUAAAACUUUCAACAACGGAUCUCUUGGCUCUG
This 245-nucleotide unclassified non-coding RNA is filed under the name Chalara sp. RNAcentral describes it as "partial internal transcribed spacer region". The stretch from base 1 to 46 matches the Rfam family "Eukaryotic small subunit ribosomal RNA", at positions 1786 to 1831 of the family's 1831-position model. The record is from RNAcentral. RNAcentral also lists the same sequence under 1 other name. Lineage: Eukaryota; Fungi; Ascomycota; Leotiomycetes; Helotiales.